Molecule: ribosomal RNA, 1432 nt
Filed under: uncultured organism
Description: 16S ribosomal RNA
Rfam family: Bacterial small subunit ribosomal RNA
Source: RNAcentral
CUAGCUACAGGCUUAACACAUGCAAGUCGAGGGGUAUCAGGAAGAAAGCUUGCUUUCUUUGCUGGCGACCGGCGCACGGGUGAGUAACACGUAUCCAACCUGCCCUUUACUCGGGGAUAGCCUUUCGAAAGAAAGAUUAAUACCCGAUGGCAUAAUGAUUCCGCAUGGUUUCAUUAUUAAAGGAUUCCGGUAAAGGAUGGGGAUGCGUUCCAUUAGGUUGUUGGUGAGGUAACGGCUCACCAAGCCUUCGAUGGAUAGGGGUUCUGAGAGGAAGGUCCCCCACAUUGGAACUGAGACACGGUCCAAACUCCUACGGGAGGCAGCAGUGAGGAAUAUUGGUCAAUGGGCGCUAGCCUGAACCAGCCAAGUAGCGUGAAGGAUGAAGGCUCUAUGGGUCGUAAACUUCUUUUAUAUAAGAAUAAAGUGCAGUAUGUAUACUGUUUUGUAUGUAUUAUAUGAAUAAGGAUCGGCUAACUCCGUGCCAGCAGCCGCGGUAAUACGGAGGAUCCGAGCGUUAUCCGGAUUUAUUGGGUUUAAAGGGAGCGUAGGUGGACUGGUAAGUCAGUUGUGAAAGUUUGCGGCUCAACCGUAAAAUUGCAGUUGAUACUGUCAGUCUUGAGUACAGUAGAGGUGGGCGGAAUUCGUGGUGUAGCGGUGAAAUGCUUAGAUAUCACGAAGAACUCCGAUUGCGAAGGCAGCUCACUGGACUGCAACUGACACUGAUGCUCGAAAGUGUGGGUAUCAAACAGGAUUAGAUACCCUGGUAGUCCACACAGUAAACGAUGAAUACUCGCUGUUUGCGAUAUACAGUAAGCGGCCAAGCGAAAGCAUUAAGUAUUCCACCUGGGGAGUACGCCGGCAACGGUGAAACUCAAAGGAAUUGACGGGGGCCCGCACAAGCGGAGGAACAUGUGGUUUAAUUCGAUGAUACGCGAGGAACCUUACCCGGGCUUAAAUUGCAGUGGAAUGAUGUGGAAACAUGUCAGUGAGCAAUCACCGCUGUGAAGGUGCUGCAUGGUUGUCGUCAGCUCGUGCCGUGAGGUGUCGGCUUAAGUGCCAUAACGAGCGCAACCCUUAUCUUUAGUUACUAACAGGUUAUGCUGAGGACUCUAGAGAGACUGCCGUCGUAAGAUGUGAGGAAGGUGGGGAUGACGUCAAAUCAGCACGGCCCUUACGUCCGGGGCUACACACGUGUUACAAUGGGGGGUACAGAAGGCAGCUAGCGGGUGACCGUAUGCUAAUCCCAAAAUCCUCUCUCAGUUCGGAUCGAAGUCUGCAACCCGACUUCGUGAAGCUGGAUUCGCUAGUAAUCGCGCAUCAGCCACGGCGCGGUGAAUACGUUCCCGGGCCUUGUACACACCGCCCGUCAAGCCAUGGGAGCCGGGGGUACAUGAAGUACGUAACCGCAAGGAUCGUCCUAGGGUAAAACUGA